UACGUAGGGUGCGAGCGUUAAUCGGAAUUACUGGGCGUAAAGCGUGCGCAGGCGGUUCGUUGUGUCUGAUGUGAAAGCCCCGGGCUCAACCUGGGAAUGGCAUUGGAAACUGGCGAGCUAGAGUGUGGCAGAGGGGGGUGGAAUUCCGCGUGUAGCAGUGAAAUGCGUAGAUAUGCGGAGGAACACCGAUGGCGAAGGCAAUCCCCUGGGCCUGCACUGACGCUCAUGCACGAAAGCGUGGGGAGCAAACAGG
Molecule: ribosomal RNA, 253 nt
Filed under: uncultured bacterium
Lineage: Bacteria
Description: partial 16S ribosomal RNA
Rfam family: Bacterial small subunit ribosomal RNA
Source: RNAcentral